GGAGUGGGCGGCUUCACCACUGGUGGAGAAGGAGUUGGGGGCUUGACUACUGGUGGAGAAGGAGUCGGUGGCUUAACCACUGGUGGUGUAGGGGUCGGUGGCUUGACGACUGGCGGGGCAGGAGUUGGGGCCUUGACCACUGGUGGGUAAGGAGGAGUUGGUGCCUUGACUGGGGGUGCAGGAGUGGGAUUCUUGGCGACUGGUGGUACAGGAGCUGGUGUUGGGGCGACUAGUAUUUGGGAAUAAGUGAUCUGUACCAACUCAGCAAAAAUGUGCUCUCAUAUCAGCAAUUUGGUCCUGGAUUCAAUUUCUAGUACCACAUUGAACAAAGCAACAAGAAAAAUUACAGAAACAGUGAACUGAAAAGUUACCUUCUGCAAGAACUCUUCACUGGGAUAUAAAGCCUGCAAGAAACAUAAACACUGUUAAGCAAAAAGCACUUUAAUCUGUGCGAAAGACAAAGACAUAAACAAUGAGCCAUACCUUCGCAGCAGUAAGUAAGAGAAAAGAAGUAACCAGAAACAACGCAGCCUUGGCCGCCAUUGCAGGAAGCAAGUCUUGAGGGGUGUGCAGUUGAAGGAGAAGGAGCAAGCGGGUUUAAAUAGAGUAACAAGGAGGUGAAGAUUGAUUGAAUUAAAUGUGAAUGCCAGCUAUUUCUGAUCACAUAGACAUAAGAGUAAUGGGUGGCAGUCCAAAGUCUGACUUAAGGUUCGACCCACAUGCCCCAAGGAGUGUGUCUCCUAAUUGACAAGCUUUAUCUUUUCAAUCAUGUCACUCAGUGACGGUGUGCACAGGCACAGCCCUUGAUAUUUUUUUUUAUUAACCCGGUACACGAGAUCUGUUCUUUACAAACAAAGCUACCAUUUCAUGGA
Long non-coding RNA from Hevea brasiliensis (rubber tree), 872 nucleotides. RefSeq lists it as uncharacterized. NCBI's taxonomy places the organism in Eukaryota, Viridiplantae, Streptophyta, Magnoliopsida, Malpighiales, Euphorbiaceae. The record is from RefSeq and is a predicted model, not a curated record. The transcript has 2 exons.